RNAcentral lists this ribosomal RNA (467 nucleotides) under uncultured bacterium. RNAcentral's name for it is "bacterial SSU rRNA". It matches the Rfam family "Bacterial small subunit ribosomal RNA", at positions 329 to 794 of the family's 1533-position model. The record is from RNAcentral.
UGCCAGACUCCUACGGGAGGCAGCAGUGAGGAAUAUUGGUCAAUGGCCGAAGGGCUGAACCAGCCAAGCCGCGUGAAGGAAUAAGGCCCUACGGGUCGUAAACUUCUUUAGUCAGGGAACAAAGGGAGCCACGCGUGGCGCUGUGAGUGUACCUGAAGAAUAAGCAUCGGCUAACUCCGUGCCAGCAGCCGCGGUAAUACGGAGGAUGCGAGCGUUAUCCGGAUUUAUUGGGUUUAAAGGGUGCGCAGGCGGCGUUUUAAGUCGGGGGUAAAGGCCGGGGGCUCACCCCCGGCGAGCCGUUGAAACUGGCGGGCUGGAGUUGGAGAGAGGUACGCGGAAUGCGCGGUGUAGCGGUGAAAUGCUUAGAUAUCGCGCAGAACUCCGAUUGCGAAGGCAGCAUGCCGGCUCCACACUGACGCUGAGGCACGAAAGCGUGGGUAUCGAACAGGAUUAGAUACCCGAGUAUG